GUAUUUUUUGUAUAGUGACUUUUUCAUGUAAACUAACGGACUUUAAAAAUUCUCUACAGUAUUUCCUUUUAUUUUUCAUAUCUGUCAGGAUUGGCUGCCUAAAGGACGCCAUCCGUCUGUAAGAACAGAAUGGCAACUUAACGGGAGGAGCAAAUUUUACCCACAAACAGCAAUUCCUCCUUUAGGCAAAGUGAGUUCCAAUAAGGGUGAUUGGAAAAUGAACCCAAGCGCGCUUAAAAGUAACAAUAGUAAUUAUACAGACAUGCCUCUCCUAACAGGACCUGCUGAGAAAAGACGAAGGCGUGGCUAGAGUGAGAACUCCGUUGCGUUUGCUCAGUAUUGGUUUUAGGUUGGUGCUCGAGACUCGGGAGUGCGCUUGCGCCUGGCGGGGGUGGAGUUUAGGCUGUGUGGAACGCUGGCGGUCUUGGUCGCUUCUCCCGCGCAUUUCCAGAGAAAGUGGGCCAUUUUGACAGGUGGUAACGAAUCUCCGAGGAUGUUUAUCCAAGGCCAAGGAGUAAUUUCAGGGCUUUAGGAGAGCCACCCACACUGACCCUGGAACUUUCUACGUCAACAAAAAUGAUAACCGGAGCAGGACCUUAAACAACUUGCACCUCAGAGGCAUGGGACUGCACUUUACUUCAAAGGAGAUACCUCAGUAUGUAUAUGACCAUGGGAUCCCAGCUUAUAUCACAUUCUACACCAUUCAGAAGCUGCUGGUAUGAUGGAAUAAUGGGGAAGUCUAUUGAAUGAAAAGCCUGUAGAAGGCAUUGCUGAAGAGGCAGAUCAGAGGUAAUACCCUGUGAAUUUGGUUGCCAUCCUCUAAGAGAUCAGUGAUAUGGUCCUCAGUAGGUUGAAUAUAUAGGCCCAGAAAUCAAGGAAUGGACACAGUAUUGGCUCUACCCACUGUCAUUCCCAAUAAUAUGCUUGUGGAAUUUCCAUCUCAGCAACUCUGGGCUCUGAGGGUUUAGGAGUUUUGGUUUUCAAUGGGGAAUAUUUCUGCCAAGGGACACAGCCAGAGUUCAAAUGAAUAAUUAGCUGUGGCUGCUACCUGCUCUUCAGACUACUUGUUGCAAGAAGACAUGGCAUGGGAAACCAUUGAGACCUUGAGGCAAGUAUCUGGAUCAUGCCACCAGACAAGUCAUGGAGAUCAGCAGGCAUGCCAACUGAAGGCACUGUUACUGGAGAGCUUUCCACCACUCUGGUUGAUGCCAAAGAUACAUUUCACUAAAAUUGUAAUUACAACUCUGUACCUUUGCCCGGUAAAAUGGAAAACAUAGAAAAUAUGCGGAGUUUCAACAUCCACUGUAGAGAGAACGUUCUGGCUGAGAGAGGAGUACAACUGCACAAGGUAGGUAACAAUGUUUUUGGCGUUUUUCUCAGCUCUACAUACUGCUUCAAAAGAGAAAAAAAGCUAGAACUGGAAAAAGGAGGCAGGAAGGAGAGGUACAAGGAGUCUGAGUUAGGACAGGGGAGUGUAUUCAGUGAAACUGAAGUCUUAAAUUUGAGUAGAAUCAGAACCUUACAGAUUCUGGCUUAGGUUAUUUUAAGGGGUGGGAAAGGGAGAUUCAAAAGGGUGGUUAUUUAAGACAAUAAAACCAUUCCAUAGUUGGAUUUCACUGAAUUAAGAUUGUUCAACUUGCCUGUCAACACUUGUAUGCCAUGAAAUUCUGCUAUAGGCAUUGUGUAGGCUAUUGUUUUUAUUUAUCCUUUGGUAUGACUGAUAAAUUUAUGAUUAGAAACCAUAGGAGACUUUUUAAUAGUUUUCAGUUAAAUCUCAGAACAGAUCACGGAGUACAUAAUUCUUAAGACACCAGGAAGCGUUUAACAACUUGAGUACUAAUGAUUAUCUUUGAAAUGGGAAUAUAAAUUUUACUCAGACUUAAGAAUUAUAUUUAUGUUGUUAAGUCCGAUGAACUCAGAUAUUAAGCGCUCAUUUUUCAAAGAUAUGAGAAAGUAAAUACUUAUUGUUUUGGCAUUUUUGUCUACAUACCCAGAAUUUUCAAAAAUCCUUUAUGGUGUGCCAUUAUUCCCUCAGAAGCACUGCCCUGUCCCCAGCGCAGAGGUAGGUUGAGCCUCAGAGUACUUUUGGGUCCUGGUUUUAAGUAAGGAAAGACUGCUAAAAUGUUGACACAAUAUUUGCUUCUUAUGCAACAGGACUGGGGCUGGUUUAUGCAUUGUUAGGCCUGGCCAUUUUUUUCCUGGCUUUCCCCCUUCUCCUUAGCUCUGCUGGGAGAAUUGCAGAGUCUUGGUAAAAGUGAAGGGGGUGAUCCAUGCACCCAGUGUCUUUCUGCCUCCUGCUCUGAGACUUUACUGUAUCCUCCCUUUUGGUGAAAAUUCUACAUGUUCCCUCUUAUAGGGCUUUUUUUUUUUUUUUGGUAGUGAAAAGGAUGUUGACACUAUCCACUUUUUCUUAUUAAUUUACCAUGUGACACAAGCCAUGCUUCUGGAGUCCUUGACAAAGUGAAUAGUGAAGAGGGAGAAAAAGUGGAGGAAAAUGUCUGACGAUGAAAGUAAAAUGAAAAAAAAAAGAGUAAAGUAAAAA
Long non-coding RNA from Felis catus (domestic cat), 2542 nucleotides. RefSeq lists it as uncharacterized. The transcript has 4 exons. NCBI's taxonomy places the organism in Eukaryota, Metazoa, Chordata, Mammalia, Carnivora, Felidae. The record is from RefSeq and is a predicted model, not a curated record.